RNAcentral lists this non-coding RNA (31 nucleotides) under Homo sapiens (human). Lineage: Eukaryota; Metazoa; Chordata; Mammalia; Primates; Hominidae. The record is from RNAcentral.
UCCAAGACCGGAAAUAAGCAAAUGUGUGCUC